GCCGCGAUAGCUCAGCUGGUAGAGCGCAUCCAUGGUAAGGAUGAGGUCUCGAGUUCAAACCUCGAUCGUGGCUCCA
This 76-nucleotide transfer RNA is filed under the name Candidatus Saccharimonadota bacterium. RNAcentral's name for it is "tRNA-Thr". It matches the Rfam family "tRNA". From Rfam's summary of the family: Transfer RNA (tRNA) molecules are approximately 80 nucleotides in length. Their secondary structure includes four short double-helical elements and three loops (D, anti-codon, and T loops). The record is from RNAcentral. Lineage: Bacteria; Candidatus Saccharimonadota.